GACGAACGCUGGCGGCGUGCCUAAUACAUGCAAGUAGAACGCUGAAGGAGGAGCUUGCUUCUCUGGAUGAGUUGCGAACGGGUGAGUAACGCGUAGGUAACCUGCCUGGUAGCGGGGGAUAACUAUUGGAAACGAUAGCUAAUACCGCAUAAUAGUAGAUGUUGCAUGACAUUUGCUUAAAAGGUGCAAUUGCAUCACUACCAGAUGGACCUGCGUUGUAUUAGCUAGUUGGUGGGGUAACGGCUCACCAAGGCGACGAUACAUAGCCGACCUGAGAGGGUGAUCGGCCACACUGGGACUGAGACACGGCCCAGACUCCUACGGGAGGCAGCAGUAGGGAAUCUUCGGCAAUGGACGGAAGUCUGACCGAGCAACGCCGCGUGAGUGAAGAAGGUUUUCGGAUCGUAAAGCUCUGUUGUAAGAGAAGAACGAGUGUGAGAGUGGAAAGUUCACACUGUGACGGUACCUUACCAGAAAGGGACGGCUAACUACGUG
This 495-nucleotide ribosomal RNA is filed under the name uncultured bacterium. RNAcentral's name for it is "partial 16S ribosomal RNA". It matches the Rfam family "Bacterial small subunit ribosomal RNA", at positions 28 to 507 of the family's 1533-position model. The record is from RNAcentral.